This is a long non-coding RNA of Silurus meridionalis, 3479 nucleotides long. RefSeq lists it as uncharacterized. The record is from RefSeq and is a predicted model, not a curated record. The transcript has 3 exons. Lineage: Eukaryota; Metazoa; Chordata; Actinopteri; Siluriformes; Siluridae.
CAGAUGUAGAGGAGAGGGGGUAUGGAGAUGGGUGAUCCGCUGUGGCGACCCCUAAUGGAAGAAUCCGAAAGAUGAAAAAGAGAGAGACAUCUGAUCAGCUGUUUUAGUUUAUUUUUAAAGUAGACCCAUAGGUAGCGCUGUUUUUUGAGCUGAUUUUGAAUCUCUAACAGCUGCGUUCAAUGUCUUGCUUUGGAUAAUCAUGAGGAAAGGUCCCGGCCGCCCCCGAACCUGUCUGCCCGUAGAUGCUCCAUCAAAAACAUCAGUUACUGGAACAGCGUUAGAGGAACUCCGCUGGUGCCUGAUGUGACAGGCCUUGGCCUGCUCUGAAGACUUGAGUGAUGGCCCUUUUUGAUAUUAACUCGCACUUAGAACAAGACUUGAUCACUAUUUACUUUAUUUAUCUUAUUUUUAAACUAAUUAUUUAUUUGAUUUCCUUGUAAAAGAGAGAGAACUGCGUUUAAAAAUGCGAUGGUGACAAUAAAACAUAUUGAAACACGUAUUUUUUUACGCAUUAUACUUGUUUGUAAUCUCACUGUAUUCACAGUUCAGUGUACAGAGAAUAUAGUUUAGUUUUGGUGUUUGUUCAUGGUCUGUGCUCUUCCAGAAGCGGCUUUAUUUCCUUAAAUAAUCAUUUUUACACGACUCAAAUCAUAGUUUAUCUUUGCCAUUAACAUUUAACAAAAACAUUACAACAACUAUUUUAUACAGUUACUAAAUUAUGCCGAAUAAAUGAAUACAAAUAUCGGGCGGAACUAUUUACCUGGACUCCUGUUACCGGUCGCACUCAUUAAUGGACGGACCGAAUGUUUCGAUGUAGUGCGUAUUUGUUCAGCGCUCUUUUUUAAAAGACCGUUGAUAUAUAGUCACUUUUUAUAACUUAAAUGUACCAUUUAUUUACUAAAACAAUUAAUUGAAGUUUUUUAUUUAUGUAGAGCACUUUUGUGUAAGCUGUAACUCUUCGCCUGACCUGGUGGUGGGACUAACAGCAGCGAGACAUUAAAAUACACUUUAUUAUUAUGAUUUUUAUGAUUAUUUAUUUCGCAGACGUUUGCUGCUUACCAUGCAGUAAUGCGCCUUUUCUCAUAACCCGUAGUUUUAACGCAUGUGCUACACACUAAAUUUCCCGAACAUUGUGCAUCUCAUCACGUAUUGAGAAGCAGUGCAUCAUGGGAAUUGUAAGCGGGUUUUGCUCACCAUGAUGGUGAACAGUGUGUGCUGUGGUGCAGUCCGUAGCUGAUGCUUGUAGAACUCAUACUUACCUGGCAGGGGAGAUACCAUGAUCAAGAAGGUGGUUCACCCAGGGCGAGGCUCAACCAUUGCACUCCGGUUGUGCUGACCCCUGCGAAUUCCCCAAAUGUGGGAAUCUCGACUGCAUAAUUUGUGGUAGUGGGGGACUGCGUUCGCGCUCUCCCCUGAUUUUACUGUAUAAAAAUAGAGUUCUUGCAUAAUUUUGUUUUUUCGGUUUGUUCUUUUUCCUUCAUUGUGGUUAUGUUGUAUUAUUAAUUUAUUUUCACUUUUUUUUGGUUGUGUUCAAUCUGCUUCCAUAUUAUCCUGUCCCAGAGGUGGGAAGUAUUUAAGUUGAUAUUUUAUGAUAUCAGUACUUUACUAUUUUAUUUUUUUGGACAUCUUUUUACUUUCAUUCAUUACAUUUAUACAUAAAUAUCUGUACUUUCUAAUUCUUACAUUUUCGAACCAGCCUCGCUACUUUUAGUAUUAUUUCUUCUCAUUGAGCGCUGCUUCCAGCCUAUCAACCCUUCAUUGUGCUGCUUUUUCACCAUAUCACUGGUGUAUUGUUUUCUGGCUAUCAGAUGUAGACGUAGGCAAGCGGAGCAAACAAUGAGCAAGACAACAAUAGGAAUGAUACAUGUGAAUUGAGAGGGAGUCACCGAUGUAAAAAUAAAUAAAAACAAAGACAUUCCUCAACACCCAUGGCCAUUUAUAAGGGAGAUGUUCUACGUAAAAAAGUGCUGGAUUUCAAAAAUUCGCCAUAAAAUUUGAGAAAACACAUACAGGUAAUCUAACGUUUUAUUGUUAUAUCUUUCUCGUCAUUAGACAUUUUAAUGUUUAAAGUUUUUUUUUGUUUUCCCUACAAUUUUGUUCGACUUUUAUAUAAGGGAUGCUGCCAUUUUUUUUUAAUGAAGGAUGUUCUUAAUUUCUGUAGCAUGUAGCUGUCAUUUGAAAGGUUUAGUCAGAUAGUUUUUAUAUGUUGUAGAACUGCUAUACAGGGGAAGUAUAAAUGAUAAACUUGCUGUUUGAACUUUAAUAAAAUUACCUUAAAUUUGUCAUACGUAACAUAUCAUCAAACAUUUGAGUUGUUUUCAAAGACAGCUGGAAAAACCCUACAAUCUGGGAUAUGGCCUGGUGAAAAAAAAAAAAAAAUCAUGUUUUAUAAACAUUACAACACAAUAUACACAAACAUUUCAUCGUUAGUGUUUCACCAUGUGGAACAUUUUAUAAUCUGAAAUCCCCGGACAUAGCGUGUAAAAAUAAUUACAGAAAAAAGGCUCAGAACAUCAUUCUGGAUCCCUCACAUCCAAGCCAUAUGCUUUUUAAUUUUUGUGUUCUGGCCGACGCUACAGGGCACCAAACUUUGAUUUAGAUGGUUUUGAUGAUGAGGUGAUUGAAAGUGACAAAGGCACACCUUUUGCUUUUGAAGUAACACAACUUUUGUCUAAAAGCUUAGCAAUUGAUUGUUAUUUUAAUAUUCCCUAUCCCCCACAGACAGCUGGAGUGGUAGACAGGCCCGAAAUUGGACUGUUGUUCUCCCGACAGUAUUCACAGAAAUGAGAAUGACCCCAUCUUUAACAAAAAAUGUUUAAAGUUUGACCACGAGUCACACUGGUCGCACUGACAUCUCUUUCUUAAGUAACCUGGAAGUGAUGGUGGACAACUACUUUUCUGCCCUGGUUAAGAAAUUGAUGAUGUUUCACUAACUCUCCCUCUGCCCACAGAUAAGCCAAGACACUCUUUUGCAGGUUCUGAUACGAAGCCUGAAGCCUACCAAGGUCGGUGAGCCGAAGUUUUUGGGUCCAGCGACUGUUCUAGCUGUAACCAGAACAGGGGUUCUGACUGAUUAUUAGCCACAGUGAAUUCACACAAGCAGGAUCAAAAGAGCACCCCUUAAUCUGUGCACUUAUUGGUCUAAUGGCCUAAGAAGCCUACCUAAUUUAUAUCACCGAUCCUGUUCCCAUGAAGAACAUCUUAGGUAAUGGUGUGAGGCGCUAAAUAAUAAUAAAUAAAUAAAUGAGUUAAAGUGGCCAUUGUUAGUAUUAAGUUGGGCCCCACACUAGUUCUCCUAUGUUGUCUGUUCAGUGUCUAUAGGAUCUUUACGAUGAGUACACCGAAUGUCUUUGUCUGGGCUCACACAUCUGUGAUUACUAUGUUUUCUUACCCAAGCUGGAACAGUUUUAGUUCAAGUUUUUUCCGUGUGCAUAUAUACUUGUUUGUAAUCUGCAUUAAACUGAAGAACAUAUGCACCA